Molecule: ribosomal RNA, 629 nt
Filed under: Demequina sp.
Lineage: Bacteria; Bacillati; Actinomycetota; Actinomycetes; Micrococcales; Demequinaceae
Description: bacterial SSU rRNA
Rfam family: Bacterial small subunit ribosomal RNA
Source: RNAcentral
UGCUCCUUCUGAUCAGUGGCGAACGGGUGAGUAACACGUGAGCAACCUGCCUCAGACUCUGGGAUAACCUCGGGAAACCGGGGCUAAUACCGGAUAUGCGGCUCCUCCGCAUGGAGAGGGUCGGGAAAGUUUUUCGGUCUGGGAUGGGCUCGCGGCCUAUCAGCUUGUUGGUGAGGUAGUGGCUCACCAAGGCGACGACGGGUAGCCGGCCUGAGAGGGCGACCGGCCACACUGGAACUGAGACACGGUCCAGACUCCUACGGGAGGCAGCAGUGGGGAAUAUUGCACAAUGGGCGCAAGCCUGAUGCAGCGACGCCGCGUGGGGGAUGAAGGCCUUCGGGUUGUAAACCCCUUUCAGCAGGGAAGAAGCGAGAGUGACGGUACCUGCAGAAGAAGCGCCGGCUAACUACGUGCCAGCAGCCGCGGUAAUACGUAGGGCGCAAGCGUUGUCCGGAAUUAUUGGGCGUAAAGAGCUCGUAGGCGGUCUGUCGCGUCUGCUGUGAAAACCCGAGGCUCAACCUCGGGCCUGCAGUGGGUACGGGCAGACUAGAGUGUGGUAGGGGAGACUGGAAUUCCUGGUGUAGCGGUGGAAUGCGCAGAUAUCAGGAGGAACACCGAUGGCGAAGGCA